GUGUCAGCCGCCGCGGUAAUACGGAGGGUGCAAGCGUUAUCCGGAUUUAUUGGGUUUAAAGGGUGCGCAGGCGGGGCCUUAAGUCAGUGGUGAAAUCUCUUCGCUUAACGAAGAAACUGCCAUUGAUACUGAGGUUCUUGAAUCUAGUUGACGUUAGUGGAAUGUGUCAUGUAGCGGUGAAAUGCUUAGAUAUGACACAGAACACCGAUCGCGAAGGCAGCUAACGAAGCUAGUAUUGACGCUCAGGCACGACAGCAUGGGGAGCAAACAGGAUUAGAUACCCCCGUAGUCC
Molecule: ribosomal RNA, 292 nt
Filed under: uncultured bacterium
Lineage: Bacteria
Description: partial 16S ribosomal RNA
Rfam family: Bacterial small subunit ribosomal RNA
Source: RNAcentral